UACGUAGGGUGCGAGCGUUAAUCGGAAUUACUGGGCGUAAAGGGUGCGCAGGCGGUUAUAUAAGACAGAUGUGAAAUCCCCGGGCUCAACCUGGGAACUGCGUUUGUGACUGUAUGACUAGAGUACGGUAGAGAGGGGUGGAAUUCCUGGUGUAGCAGUGAAAUGCGUAGAUAUCAGGAGGAACAUCGAUGGCGAAGGCAGCCCCUUGGGCCUGUACUGACGCUCAUGCACGAAAGCGUGGGGAGCAAACAGG
Molecule: ribosomal RNA, 253 nt
Filed under: uncultured bacterium
Lineage: Bacteria
Description: partial 16S ribosomal RNA
Rfam family: Bacterial small subunit ribosomal RNA
Source: RNAcentral